UGGGGGUUGGUUUAUUAUUGGCUGUUUUGUUUCAAAGGUUUCUUUACAAGUGAGUUACUUGUGGUUUAUCUUGCUUUGUGUUUUUGUUUCUGGGUUUAUUUAUUAGUAGUUUAGUUUUUUGUACCAUAUUGGGGUUCUCCUAUUAAGGAGAGAGAGUUUUAUUCUUGCUUUUUCAUUCAGUUUUUGCUUGUUCUAUAUGUAAGUUUUUGCGUGGUUUGCUCUUAUUUUUCUAAAUGGGGUUUGAGUUUUAAUUUUUAUCUUCAUUAGUUGUUGUUAGUUGGUCAAUUAUUUUUGUUUCUAGCAAUUCAUUUUAGUUUCGGUUAAAUUUUGUGCCAGCAGCCGCGGUUAUACCUUGGAGGCUUUUGAAUGUGUUUGGUUUGGUAGUUUUAUGUUUGUAUUAUUGAUUUUUUUUGUUUUGUUUGUUAGGUGAAAUUUUUAUUUUUAAAAGGUUUGUUUAUUUUUCUUUUGGAGGCUAUGAAACUCUUAUUUUAGACUAGGAUUAGAUACCCUAUUAUUUUUGAGUGUUAAAGUUUUGUGCUUGAGUAGUAUUAGUUAUGUUCUUGAAACUUAAAGAAUUUGGCGGUAUCUUACUCCAUUCAGAGGAAUCUGUCUCGUUAUCGAUAGUCCGCGUUGGACCUUACUUGGUUUUUAAUUGUUUGUAUACCGCCGUUUAUUGAUUAUCUUUUUAGAGGUUUAUAAUUUUCUUGUUUCUUUAUUUUGAUUUAUUUCAGGUCAAGGUGCAGCUUUUUCUAAGUGGUAUGAUGGAUUACAAUGUUAUUUGUUGCUUGGAUUGUGUGUUUUAAUACAUGUAUGAAAUUGGAUUUGGUUGUAAUGUUUUGUAGAUUGUUUUCGUGAUAAUUGGUUCUGAGAUAUGUACACAUCGCCCGUCGCUCUCGUUUGUUUUUGUUAAUGAGAUAAGUCGUAACAAAGUGGCUGUACCGGAAGGUGCGGCUGGAAUGAUU
This 962-nucleotide non-coding RNA is filed under the name Macrotermes barneyi. Lineage: Eukaryota; Metazoa; Arthropoda; Insecta; Blattodea; Termitidae. The record is from RNAcentral.